CUUUGAUGUUUUUUGGCACCCCUUUUGGGUGUCUCUGUUUCUUCACCUGCUUUGCACGGUCUCCCUGCCUGUGCUGUACCAUUUGUGUGCACAGACAGGGACCGCGGAUCACUGGGGAAGCUGUUUUCUCGGGAGCUGCUGUGCUCCCUGACCGCCCUCCCUUCUCCCCUCACGACCGCAUGUGCGGCCGCGUGCGAUGACCCGCUCUACC
Non-coding RNA from Pelobates cultripes (western spadefoot toad), 211 nucleotides. NCBI's taxonomy places the organism in Eukaryota, Metazoa, Chordata, Amphibia, Anura, Pelobatidae. The record is from the annotation of a GenBank genome assembly.